RNAcentral lists this ribosomal RNA (253 nucleotides) under uncultured bacterium. RNAcentral's name for it is "partial 16S ribosomal RNA". It matches the Rfam family "Bacterial small subunit ribosomal RNA", at positions 524 to 776 of the family's 1533-position model. The record is from RNAcentral.
UACGGGGGGGGCAAGCGUUGUUCGGAAUUACUGGGCGUAAAGGGCUCGUAGGCGGCCAACUAAGUCGGACGUGAAAUCCCCGGGCUCAACCCGGGAACUGCGUCCGAUACUGGCAGGCUUGAAUCCGGGAGAGGGAUGUGGAAUUCCAGGUGUAGCGGUGAAAUGCGUAGAUAUCGGGAGGAACACCAGUGGCGAAGGCGACUACCUGGCCUGUUCUUGACGCUGAGGCGCGAAAGCGAGGGUAGCAAACGGG